RNAcentral lists this ribosomal RNA (941 nucleotides) under uncultured archaeon. RNAcentral describes it as "bacterial SSU rRNA". It matches the Rfam family "Archaeal small subunit ribosomal RNA", at positions 21 to 904 of the family's 1478-position model. The record is from RNAcentral.
CCCGACUGCUAUUUGGGUGAGGAUAAGCCAUGCGAGUUGGAUGGGAUACCUAAACUUCCCAUAGCAAACUGCUUAGUAACACAUGAUCAACUUGCCCUAUGGAGAAAAAUAACCUCGGGAAAGUAUCAUAGCGAUUUAAAUAAUUGAUAACUAUGAUACCCCGAAACUGAGGAUAAUGUUUCAUAGUUGAAUAGGCUUGGAAAAGUUUUUCAAUGAAAGGAAUAAGAUAAAUGGAUCUUAUUUGCCAUAGGAUAGGAUCGUGGUCGAUUAUGGUAGUUGGUGAGAUAACGGCUCACCAAGCCGAUAAUCGAUAGGGGCCGUGAGAGCGGGAGCCCCGAGAUGGGUACUGAGACAACGACCCAGGCCUUACGAGGCGCAGCAGGCGCGGAACCUCCGCAAUACACGAAAGUGUGACGGGGUUACCCAAAGUGCUCUUUCUAGAGCUGUGGUAGGUGAGUAAUGUUCCCUACUAGAAAGGAGAGGGCAAGGCUGGUGCCAGCCGCCGCGGUAAAACCAGCUCUUCAAGUGGUCGGGAUAAUUAUUGGGCUUAAAGUGUCCGUAGCCGGUUUAGAAAGUUCCUGGUAAAAUCGGGUAGCUUAACUAUCCGUAUGCUAGGAAUACUGCUAUACUAGAGGGCGGGAGAGGUCUGAGGUACUACAGGGGUAGGGGUGAAAUCUUAUAAUCCUUGUAGGACCACCAGUGGCGAAGGCGUCAGACUGGAACGCGCCUGACGGUGAGGGACGAAAGCCAGGGGAGCGAACCGGAUUAGAUACCCGGGUAGUCCUGGCCGUAAACGAUGCAUACUAGGUGAUGGUACGGCCAUGAGCCGUAUCAGUGCCGUAGGGAAACCGUUAAGUGUGCCGCCUGGGAAGUACGGUCGCAAGGCUAAAACUUAAAGGAAUUGGCGGGGGAGCACCACAAGGGGUGAAGCCUGCGGUUCA